RNAcentral lists this ribosomal RNA (253 nucleotides) under uncultured bacterium. Its description in RNAcentral is "partial 16S ribosomal RNA". It matches the Rfam family "Bacterial small subunit ribosomal RNA", at positions 524 to 776 of the family's 1533-position model. The record is from RNAcentral.
UACGGAGGGUGCAAGCGUUGUUCGGAGUUACUGGGCGUAAAGGGCGCGUAGGCGGCUUGGCAAGUCGGGUGUGAAAUCCUAGGGCUUAACGGAAGAAGUGCACCCGAAACUGCCUUGCUCGAGUUUGGGAGAGGGGAGUGGAAUUCCCGGUGUAGAGGUGAAAUUCGUAGAUAUCGGGAGGAACACCAGUGGCGAAAGCGACUCCCUGGACCAAUACUGACGCUCAGGAGCGAAAGCGUGGGGAGCAAACAGG